GCGGUGGCUGCCACCGCCACAUCGUCGGAGAUUCGUUUUAAGUCGAAGAAGGCGGGGACUCAUGUUUUCUCAGCUGGGUUUUUCACUUUUAAGCCCGAAUUGUGUAACCAGAAAGAUACUAUCGGAAAAGGUUUUCCACCGGCGCUUCCUGAUAUUCCUGCGCCGUUCUUGCCGCCGAUCGGUGGAGGUAUUUUACCUCCUCUUCCGGUGCCGGAUGUACCCAUGCCACCUCUAAUUCCCCCGCUACCACAGCUCCCUGGUAUUCCACUUCCACCUGUUACCCGCCAAAAAUCAUCGGAAUCCGAUAGAUUGGCCGAUCAAAAAAGUUUUGGUUUCCCGUUUCCACCGCCACUGUUCCCACCGCUGCCGUUUGUGCCAUCGCCGCCGUCAUUGAUUCCUCCCGUCAUUCCAACACCACCACCGUCACUGUUCCCUCCCCUCGUUCCAUCAACACCACCAUCAUUGUUUCCUCCCCUCGUUCCAUCACCACCAUCAUCGAUGUUUCCACCAUUGCCCUUUCCACCUGUACCAGGUUUGAUUCCAUCACCGCCGCCGCCACCACCGCCGGCGUUCCCAAUUCCUCUGCCUCCACUACCUCCGCUACCUCCGCUACCUCCAGUACCUCCGGUACCAGGAGUCCCACCGGCGAAAACCUCCCCUUGAUUAAACUCGUAUAUAUUUAAUAUUAUUACUGCAUAACCUUUUGAAGUAACCUUUCCAUACAUACGCGCGUAUUACAAUUAUGGGUAUUGUAAUUGUAGCAUGAAUAAAUCGUACAUGGUAAAAUGGUUGGGAUUCCUAUAAAUAGUUUAAAAUUUUUGAGAUCCAAUUAUGCGUUCUGAGUAUUGUUUAAUAGAUAGCAUUCUAUGAGUUUCUAAUAGAAGUUUUAUCCUUUUUAUGGAAAUGCUGGAUUAUUUGAUAUGUAAAUAAUAUUUCCUUUGUGUUCGUACUUAUAAAUAAGGUCGUUUUAUUUUAUAGUUGUUGACUGAUUUAAAAUUUCUACUGAAUCCACGUCUAAUUGAAAUCAUAUUGUUUAUGAUAAAAAAUAACCAUAUUAUCAUUAUAUUGUCUCUCUUGUGCUAAGAGUCAAUUCUAAAGUUUGGCAUAACAAAAAAUUUAUAUGAGAAGUGUGAUUGGAAAUCUAUUACAUCGAACUUUUAAUACUUUUAUUCUUUAUAAACACAGAAAAAUAACAAUAUACAAAACUGAACCCUUUUUUUUCAUUCUAUUACAACAUCGAAACUUUUUUACUUUCUUUACAACAUUUCAUGUCAUCUUUAGCCCAUAUGCACCUUCAUCAAAAGUAUAGUAUUUUGGCAUAGCAUGGUAAGGAACAUCUUCAGCUGAAAACAAAGCACAAGGAAUCAUGUGACUACUUGAUAGAUUUUAGCAUAUGAUCACGUGAUUCUUAUGCAAAUGCUUGUAAGAAUCUACUGUUACCAACAAAAAAUUUCAACAUAUAUGAAUUAUUGAUGGAUUUCUAAGAUGAUAUAAUGUAAAAAAAUCAAAUAAAGUAAUAAUCUCAUGAUUUAACAAUUGCACCAUAGGCUUCCAUUUUCCCCUGCACAAAAUAUGCCAAACAAAUGGACCAUAUUUGACAUUUUUUGGUCAGAGAACGUUAAACCAGGCUUCAUGGUUUGUGCCUCACAAGUCGCAAUAUAUCACUAUACCUAAUGUAACUAUUAGUGAU
This 1690-nucleotide long non-coding RNA is filed under the name Lactuca sativa (garden lettuce). RNAcentral describes it as "long non-coding RNA (LSAT_LNC004669)". Lineage: Eukaryota; Viridiplantae; Streptophyta; Magnoliopsida; Asterales; Asteraceae. The record is from RNAcentral.